GAGGAUGAUGACAUCCCAGCAGGGCA
This 26-nucleotide non-coding RNA is filed under the name Homo sapiens (human). Lineage: Eukaryota; Metazoa; Chordata; Mammalia; Primates; Hominidae. The record is from RNAcentral.